This 426-nucleotide ribosomal RNA is filed under the name uncultured Comamonas sp. Its description in RNAcentral is "bacterial SSU rRNA". It matches the Rfam family "Bacterial small subunit ribosomal RNA", at positions 356 to 774 of the family's 1533-position model. Lineage: Bacteria; Pseudomonadati; Pseudomonadota; Betaproteobacteria; Burkholderiales; Comamonadaceae. The record is from RNAcentral.
GGGGAAUUUUGGACAAUGGGCGCAAGCCUGAUCCAGCAAUGCCGCGUGCAGGAUGAAGGCCUUCGGGUUGUAAACUGCUUUUGUACGGAACGAAAAGCCUCUCUCUAAUACAGGGGGGUGAUGACGGUACCGUAAGAAUAAGCACCGGCUAACUACGUGCCAGCAGCCGCGGUAAUACGUAGGGUGCAAGCGUUAAUCGGAAUUACUGGGCGUAAAGCGUGCGCAGGCGGUUUUGUAAGACAGUGGUGAAAUCCCCGGGCUCAACCUGGGAACUGCCAUUGUGACUGCAAGGCUGGAGUGCGGCAGAGGGGGAUGGAAUUCCGCGUGUAGCAGUGAAAUGCGUAGAUAUGCGGAGGAACACCGAUGGCGAAGGCAAUCCCCUGGGCCUGCACUGACGCUCAUGCACGAAAGCGUGGGGAGCAAACA